UGAGGAAUUUUCCACAAUGGGCGAAAGCCUGAUGGAGCGACGCCGCGUGAAGGAUGAAGGUUUUCGGACUGUAAACUUCUUUUAUAUGGGAAGAUUAUGACUGUACCAUAUGAAUAAGCACCGGCUAACUACGUGCCAGCAGCCGCGGUAAUACGUAGGGUGCAAGCGUUAUCCGGAAUUACUGGGCGUAAAGAGUUUGUAGGCGGACUUUUAAGUCGAGUGUUAAAUAUGCGGGCUCAACUCGCAUGCUGCACUCGAUACUGGGAGUCUUGAGAGUGGAAGAGGUAAGCGGAAUUUCCGGUGGAGCGGUAAAAUGCGUAGAUUUCGGAAAGAACACCAAUGGCGAAGGCAGCUUACUGGGCCAUUUCUGACGCUGAGAAACGAAAGCGUGGGGAGCGAUCG
RNAcentral lists this ribosomal RNA (402 nucleotides) under uncultured bacterium. RNAcentral's name for it is "partial 16S ribosomal RNA". It matches the Rfam family "Bacterial small subunit ribosomal RNA", at positions 355 to 774 of the family's 1533-position model. The record is from RNAcentral.